RNAcentral lists this ribosomal RNA (398 nucleotides) under uncultured bacterium. RNAcentral's name for it is "partial 16S ribosomal RNA". It matches the Rfam family "Bacterial small subunit ribosomal RNA", at positions 523 to 918 of the family's 1533-position model. The record is from RNAcentral.
AUACGUAGGGUGCGAGCGUUGUCCGGAAUUACUGGGCGUAAAGAGCUCGUAGGUGGUUUGUCGCGUCGUCUGUGAAAUUCCGGGGCUUAACUCCGGGCGUGCAGGCGAUACGGGUAUAACUUGAGUACUGUAGGGGAGACUGGAAUUCCUGGUGUAGCGGUGAAAUGCGCAGAUAUCAGGAGGAACACCGGUGGCGAAGGCGGGUCUCUGGGCAGUAACUGACGCUGAGGAGCGAAAGCAUGGGUAGCGAACAGGAUUAGAUACCCUGGUAGUCCAUGCCGUAAACGGUGGGCGCUAGGUGUAGGGGUCUUCCACGACUUCUGUGCCGUAGCUAACGCAUUAAGCGCCCCGCCUGGGGAGUACGGCCGCAAGGCUAAAACUCAAAGGAAUUGACGGGG